Molecule: ribosomal RNA, 497 nt
Filed under: uncultured bacterium
Lineage: Bacteria
Description: partial 16S ribosomal RNA
Rfam family: Bacterial small subunit ribosomal RNA
Source: RNAcentral
GAUGAACGCUGGCGGCGUGCCUAAUACAUGCAAGUCGAGCGAACAGACGAGGAGCUUGCUCCUUUGACGUUAGCGGCGGACGGGUGAGUAACACGUAGGUAACCUACCUAUAAGACUGGGAUAACUUCGGGAAACCGGAGCUAAUACCGGAUAAUAUUUCGAACCGCAUGGUUCGAUAGUGAAAGAUGGCUUUGCUAUCACUUAUAGAUGGACCUGCGCCGUAUUAGCUAAUUGGUAAGGUAACGGCUUACCAAGGCAACGAUACGUAGCCGACCUGAGAGGGUGAUCGGCCACACUGGAACUGAGACACGGUCCAGACUCCUACGGGAGGCAGCAGUAGGGAAUCUUCCGCAAUGGGCGAAAGCCUGACGGAGCAACGCCGCGUGAGUGAUGAAGGUCUUCGGAUCGUAAAACUCUGUUAUUAGGGAAGAACAAACGUGUAAGUAACUGUGCACGUCUUGACGGUACCUAAUCAGAAAGCCACGGCUAACUACGUG